UACGGAGGGUGCAAGCGUUAAUCGGAUUUACUGGGCGUAAAGCGCGCGUAGGCGGUUUGGUAAGUCGGAUGUGAAAUCCCAGGGCUCAACCUUGGAAUUGCAUUCGAUACUGCCUCACUAGAGUAUGGUAGAGGGAAGUGGAAUUCCGGGUGUAGCGGUGAAAUGCGUAGAUAUCCGGAGGAACAUCAGUGGCGAAGGCGACUUCCUGGCCCAAUACUGACGCUGAGGUGCGAAAAGCGUGGGGAGCAAACAGGGAUUAGAUCCCGGGUAGUC
RNAcentral lists this ribosomal RNA (273 nucleotides) under uncultured bacterium. RNAcentral's name for it is "partial 16S ribosomal RNA". It matches the Rfam family "Bacterial small subunit ribosomal RNA", at positions 524 to 795 of the family's 1533-position model. The record is from RNAcentral.